RNAcentral lists this unclassified non-coding RNA (343 nucleotides) under uncultured fungus. Its description in RNAcentral is "partial contains 5.8S ribosomal RNA and internal transcribed spacer 2". The stretch from base 1 to 134 matches the Rfam family "5.8S ribosomal RNA", at positions 22 to 154 of the family's 154-position model. Lineage: Eukaryota; Fungi. The record is from RNAcentral.
UGGCUCUGGCAUCGAUGAAGAACGCAGCGAAAUGCGAUAAGUAAUGCGAAUUGCAGAAUUCCAGUGAGUCAUCGAAUCUUUGAACGCACAUUGCGCCCUUUGGUAUUCCGAAGGGCAUGCCUGUUCGAGCGUCAUUAUCACCCCUCGGGCCCCGUGCCCGGUGUUGGACGGCCGGUUCGGGCGACCGAACCCCUCCUAAAGACAAUGACGGCGGCCUGUGGUUCCCCGGCACACUGAGCUUUUCACGAGGCACGUGCUGGAGGGCGCUCAGGACCCCCGGUCUUCUCCUCUCGGCAGGAAACUUCUCAUGGUUGACCUCGGAUCAGGUAGGAAUACGCGCUGA